CCUACUUUGGGUACAUUUAAAACUUCCAAAUUAAAAGUUCAAUUUUUUUAAAAGUUGAUAUUGUGGCCCCGUCAUACAUUAAGGGUGCCUUUUUUACCUUUACCUCCAAGAGCUUCUAUACAUGCAAGAGGCUACGUUUUCGACCACGCAGCCAGCAAAAAUUACUACUAAAAUACUGUUUUUACAUGACUUUAAAAAGACAAAAUAGGUCUAUAAUUUCACAAAGGAACUAGAAAAGUAUCAUGAGAAAAUGGGGGGGAAUAAAACAAUCUGGUAUAUUUAGUUAGCUCUAACAGCACAUGGCAAUUCUAAAUAAAGCAUACGGAUUAAAAAAAAAAAAGACAUCCUGUUUUCGAUUUCAAAGAGCACAGGGUACUUUUCCUCAUCUGGGCACUUGUUCACGAAGAGGCACCCGCAGUGUCCUGUCCGUCCGUCCGUCCGUCCGUCCGUCCGCACUCUCAGUCACAAGAGUUAGGGGCACCGGGGAAGGUCAGCCGCAGCCACUACCGGCCCCUCAGAAGUCUGGCACCCCCACUUUCCCAGGCCAGCCACUCCCUGCUCAGGCCGCGGGGCUCUGUUUUAGAAUGAUCACCGAGAGAUGGAGAGUCACAGGACUGUCCCUGGAUGUGCCAGGGCUGGGAAGGGGGAGAGCCAGCGUGAGACUUUUGCCUGUAUCAGCAUAAUGAGGAUAAUGACUGACCCCCUUUCUCCUUUCCUCUCCCUACCAGCCAGGUUUAUAACCGAUAUUGUGAUUUAUAAUAAAUAUUUGGUCUUCAUCCCUGUUCCUGA
Felis catus (domestic cat) is the source of this 789-nucleotide long non-coding RNA. RefSeq lists it as uncharacterized. The record is from RefSeq and is a predicted model, not a curated record. NCBI's taxonomy places the organism in Eukaryota, Metazoa, Chordata, Mammalia, Carnivora, Felidae. The transcript has 2 exons.